UUAGAGUUUGAUCCUGGCUCAGGAUGAACGCUAGCGGCAGGCUUAACACAUGCAAGUCGAGGGGCAGCGAGAUCAGUGCUUGCACUGAUUGUCGGCGACCGGCGCACGGGUGCGUAACGCGUAUGCAACCUACCCAUUACAGGGGGAUAACACUGAGAAAUCGGUACUAAUACCCCAUAACAUCCAGGGAGGCAUCUUCUUGGGUUGAAAACUCCGGUGGUAAUGGAUGGGCAUGCGUUGUAUUAGUUAGUUGGUGGGGUAACGGCUCACCAAGACCACGAUACAUAGGGGGACUGAGAGGUUAACCCCCCACAUUGGUACUGAGACACGGACCAAACUCCUACGGGAGGCAGCAGUGAGGAAUAUUGGUCAAUGGACGCAAGUCUGAACCAGCCAUGCCGCGUGCAGGAAGACGGCUCUAUGAGUUGUAAACUGCUUUUGUACGAGGGUAAACGCAGAUACGCGUAUCUGUCUGAAAGUAUCGUACGAAUAAGGAUCGGCUAACUCCGUGCCAGCAGCCGCGGUAAUACGGAGGAUUCAAGCGUUAUCCGGAUUUAUUGGGUUUAAAGGGUGCGUAGGCGGUCGGAUAAGUUAGAGGUGAAAUCCCGAGGCUCAACUUCGGAAUUGCCUCUGAUACUGUUUGGCUAGAGAGUAGUUGCGGUAGGCGGAAUGUAUGGUGUAGCGGUGAAAUGCUUAGAGAUCAUACAGAACACCGAUUGCGAAGGCAGCUUACCAAGCUACUUCUGACGUUGAGGCACGAAAGCGUGGGGAGCAAACAGGAUUAGAUACCCUGGUAGUCCACGCAGUAAACGAUGAUAACUCGUUGUCGGCGAUACAUUGUCGGUGACUAAGCGAAAGCGAUAAGUUAUCCACCUGGGGAGUACGUUCGCAAGAAUGAAACUCAAAGGAAUUGACGGGGGCCCGCACAAGCGGAGGAACAUGUGGUUUAAUUCGAAGCAACGCGAAGAACCUUACCAGGCCUUGACAUCCCCCUGGAUGUGCCGUAACGGGCACAGCCCCUCGGGGCAGGGGAGACAGGUGGUGCAUGGUUGUCGUCAGCUCGUGUCGUGAGAUGUUGGGUUAAGUCCCGCAACGAGCGCAACCCCUGCCCGCAGUAGCCAGCAUUCGGUUGGGGACUCUGCGGGGACUGCCGGGGACAACCCGGAGGAAGGCGGGGAUGACGUCAAAUCAUCAUGCCCCUUAUGGCCUGGGCGACACACGUGCUACAAUGGCGGGGACAGAGGGAUGCGAAGCGGCGACGCGGAGCGAACCCCAAAAACACCGCCCCAGUUCGGAUUGUAGUCUGCAACCCGACUACAUGAAGCCGGAAUCGCUAGUAAUCGCGGAUCAGAAUGCCGCGGUGAAUACGUUCCCGGGUCUUGUACUCACCGCCCGUCAAG
RNAcentral lists this ribosomal RNA (1400 nucleotides) under uncultured bacterium. RNAcentral's name for it is "bacterial SSU rRNA". It matches the Rfam family "Bacterial small subunit ribosomal RNA". The record is from RNAcentral.